CUGCCUCAUACAGGGGGAUAACAGUUAGAAAUGACUGCUAAUACCGCAUAAGCACCCGGGAGCGCAUGCUCCUGAGUGAAAAGCUCCGGCGGUAUGAGAUGGAUCCGCGUCUGAUUAGCUGGUUGGCGGGGUAACGACCCACCAAGGCGACGAUCAGUAGCCGACCUGAGAGGGUGGCCGGCCACAUUGGGACUGAGACACGGCCCAAACUCCUACGGGAGGCAGCAGUGGGGAAUAUUGCACAAUGGGGGAAACCCUGAUGCAGCAACGCCGCGUGGGUGAAGAAGUAUUUCGGUAUGUAAAGCCCUAUCAGCAGGGAAGAGAAUGACGGUACCUGACUAAGAAGCCCCGGCUACCUACGUGCCAGCAGCCGCGGUAAUACGUAGGGGGCAAGCGUUAUCCGGAUUUACUGGGUGUAAAGGGAGCGUAGACGGUUGUGCAAGUCUGAAGUGAAAGCCCGCGGCUCAACUGCGGAACGGCUUUGGAAACUGUGUAACUGGAGUGCUGGAGAGGUAAGCGGAAUUCCUGGUGUAGCGGUGAAAUGCGUAGAGAUCAGGAGGAACACCGGCGGCGAAGGCGGCUUACUGGACAGUAACUGACGUUGAGGCUCGAAAGCGUGGGGAGCAAACAGGAUUAGAUACCCUGGUAGUCCACGCGGUAAAC
RNAcentral lists this ribosomal RNA (663 nucleotides) under uncultured bacterium. RNAcentral's name for it is "bacterial SSU rRNA". It matches the Rfam family "Bacterial small subunit ribosomal RNA", at positions 126 to 807 of the family's 1533-position model. The record is from RNAcentral.